UGGGGAAUUUUGGACAAUGGGCGAAAGCCUGAUCCAGCAAUGCCGCGUGUGUGAAGAAGGCCUUCGGGUUGUAAAGCACUUUUGUCCGGAAAGAAAUCCUUGGCUCUAAUACAGUCGGGGGAUGACGGUACCGGAAGAAUAAGCACCGGCUAACUACGUGCCAGCAGCCGCGGUAAUACGUAGGGUGCAAGCGUUAAUCGGAAUUACUGGGCGUAAAGCGUGCGCAGGCGGUUUUGUAAGACGGAUGUGAAAUCCCCGGGCUUAACCUGGGAACUGCAUUCGUGACUGCAAGGCUAGAGUAUGGCAGAGGGGGGUAGAAUUCCACGUGUAGCAGUGAAAUGCGUGGAGAUGUGGAGGAAUACCGAUGGCGAAGGCAGCCCCCGUGGGCCAAUACUGACGCAUCAUGCACGAAAGCGUGGGAGCAACAGGAUUAGAUACCCUGGUAGUCCACGCCCUAAACGAUGUCAACUAGUUGUUGGGAUUCAUUUCCCUUAGUAACGUAGCUUAACGCGUGAAAGUUGACCCGCCUGGGGAGUACGGUCGCAAGAUUAAAACUCAAAGGAAUUGACGGGGAUCAUAGCUGUUUCC
RNAcentral lists this ribosomal RNA (588 nucleotides) under uncultured bacterium. RNAcentral's name for it is "partial 16S ribosomal RNA". It matches the Rfam family "Bacterial small subunit ribosomal RNA", at positions 355 to 933 of the family's 1533-position model. The record is from RNAcentral.